RNAcentral lists this ribosomal RNA (255 nucleotides) under uncultured bacterium. Its description in RNAcentral is "partial 16S ribosomal RNA". It matches the Rfam family "Bacterial small subunit ribosomal RNA", at positions 524 to 777 of the family's 1533-position model. The record is from RNAcentral.
UACGAAGGGGACUAGCGUUGUUCGGAAUCACUGGGCGUAAAGCGCACGUAGGCGGAUAUGUCAGUCAGGGGUGAAAUCCCGGGGCUUAACCUCGGUAACUGCCUUUGAUACAGCAUAUCUUGAGUCCGAUAGAGGUGGGUGGAAUUCCUAGUGUAGAGGUGAAAUUCGUAGAUAUUAGGAAGAACACCGGUGGCGAAGGCGGCUCACUGGCCCGGUACUGACGCUGAGGCACGAAAGCGUGGGGAGCAAACAGGG